This 295-nucleotide ribosomal RNA is filed under the name uncultured bacterium. RNAcentral's name for it is "partial 16S ribosomal RNA". It matches the Rfam family "Bacterial small subunit ribosomal RNA", at positions 221 to 507 of the family's 1533-position model. The record is from RNAcentral.
GAAGAGGGGUUUGCGUCUGAUUAGGUCAGUUGGUGAGGUAACGGCCCACCAAACCUACGAUCAGUAGCCGGUCUGAGAGGAUGAACGGCCACACUGGAACUGAGACACGGUCCAGACUCCUACGGGAGGCAGCAGUGGGAAUCUUCCGCAAUGGACGAAAGUCUGACGGAGCAACGCCGCGUGAGUGAUGACGGCCUUCGGGUUGUAAAGCUCUGUGAUCGGGGACGAAUGGCUGGUAUGCUAAUACCAUAUCAGAGUGACGGUACCCGAAUAGCAAGCCACGGCUAACUACGUG